This 497-nucleotide ribosomal RNA is filed under the name uncultured bacterium. RNAcentral's name for it is "partial 16S ribosomal RNA". It matches the Rfam family "Bacterial small subunit ribosomal RNA", at positions 356 to 845 of the family's 1533-position model. The record is from RNAcentral.
AGGGAAUCUUCCACAAUGGACGCAAGUCUGAUGGAGCAACGCCGCGUGAGUGAAGAAGGUUUUCGGAUCGUAAAGCUCUGUUGUUGGUGAAGAAGGAUAGAGGCAGUAACUGGUCUUUAUUUGACGGUAAUCAACCAGAAAGUCACGGCUAACUACGUGCCAGCAGCCGCGGUAAUACGUAGGUGGCAAGCGUUGUCCGGAUUUAUUGGGCGUAAAGCGAGCGCAGGCGGAAUGAUAAGUCUGAUGUGAAAGCCCACGGCUCAACCGUGGAACUGCAUCGGAAACUGUCAUUCUUGAGUGCAGAAGAGGAGAGUGGAACUCCAUGUGUAGCGGUGGAAUGCGUAGAUAUAUGGAAGAACACCAGUGGCGAAGGCGGCUCUCUGGUCUGCAACUGACGCUGAGGCUCGAAAGCAUGGGUAGCGAACAGGAUUAGAUACCCUGGUAGUCCAUGCCGUAAACGAUGAGCGCUAGGUGUUGGGGCUUCUGCCGUCUGNGCG